RNAcentral lists this unclassified non-coding RNA (347 nucleotides) under soil metagenome. RNAcentral describes it as "partial contains 5.8S ribosomal RNA, internal transcribed spacer 2, and large subunit ribosomal RNA". The stretch from base 1 to 120 matches the Rfam family "5.8S ribosomal RNA", at positions 35 to 154 of the family's 154-position model. The record is from RNAcentral.
GAUGAAGAACUUAGCGAAAUGCGAUAAGUAGUGUGAAUUGCAGAAUUCCGUGAAUCAUCGAAUCUUUGAACGCACAUUGCGCCUCCUGGUAGUCCGGGAGGCAUGCCUGUUCGAGCGUCACCAAAUCCAACUCAAGCGGUUUUGCGCUUGGUCGUGGCGGAAGAGUCGGUCUGGUUGCCGUCUCCCCUCCGAAAAUCAACGGCGGAAAGUCACUGGCAGUCAGCGUAGUAGUAUCGUUCGCCGAACAUCCAGUGGCAUUCCUGCCGACGUACCCCCACAAUUCUCGUGAUUGACCUCGGAUCAGGUAGGGAUACCCGCUGAACUUAAGCAUAUCAAUAAGCGGAGGA